AACAAGAGUUUGGUCUAGGUGAGG
Molecule: non-coding RNA, 24 nt
Filed under: Arabidopsis thaliana (thale cress)
Lineage: Eukaryota; Viridiplantae; Streptophyta; Magnoliopsida; Brassicales; Brassicaceae
Source: RNAcentral